CGUGUAGGUGGUCAGGUAAGUCAGACGUGAAAGCCUUCUGCUUAACAGAAGAAGUGCAUUUGAAACUGCUUGGCUAGAGUACGGGAGAGGAGAGUGGAAUUCCCGGUGUAGAGGUGAAAUUCGUAGAUAUCGGGAGGAACACCAGUGGCGAAGGCGGCUCUCUGGUCCGAUACUGACGCUGAGACGCGAAAGCGUGGGGAGCAAACAGGAUUAGAUACCCUGGUAGUCCACGCCGUAAACGAUGGGCACUAGGUGUAGGAGGUAUUGACCCCUUCUGUGCCGAAGCUAACGCAUUAAGUGCCCCGCCUGGGGAGUACGGCCGCAAGGCUAAA
This 332-nucleotide ribosomal RNA is filed under the name uncultured bacterium. Its description in RNAcentral is "bacterial SSU rRNA". It matches the Rfam family "Bacterial small subunit ribosomal RNA", at positions 568 to 898 of the family's 1533-position model. The record is from RNAcentral.